GUCUUCUUCUUCCUCUUCUUCUUCACGUCCUCCAU
Molecule: small RNA, 35 nt
Filed under: Arabidopsis thaliana (thale cress)
Lineage: Eukaryota; Viridiplantae; Streptophyta; Magnoliopsida; Brassicales; Brassicaceae
Description: ATSL070280
Source: RNAcentral